UUGUCCUGCUAAUGAAAUUUGAAACUAAAAAAAUGAUAAAGAUCUUGCAGAUCUAUGAAAACUUAUUUUUAAGGCGAAAUAGAUGGUCUAGAUAAUUUGUUACGUUAGGCACGAUUUUUUUAAGCUUGAAAUCCUAAAGUUUUUCCACAACUAUAAUGUUCAAGCCAGUAUGAAUGUAAAAGUUUUCUAAUUCUUAGAUUGCAAUUUCCAAUGAGUAAUGAGGUAAGCUUUUACUUAUUUUGAGAGAGAUACAACCGUAUCAAACCAUUUUCCUUUUGGAAAUCGCUAAAUCUCUCUCUUGUUUGAAUGAUAAAAAAUGAUAUUUCUCUUUAUAUACUACUUAUGAUUCCCGAUUGUCUUUUUAGGAGUUCAAUAAAAAAUAAUCCAUGAUCAACAAGGCAGAACUUUGGGCACUAAAAUUAGGAGUUGCCCGACUUGCCCCGGAACAUCUCAAAAUGAUCAUUGAAGGAGAUUCAACGAAUGUGAUGAAAUAGUGCAAUCGGCCAGACGACAUGCCCUAGAAUCUCAGUGGUACUAUGGAUGAAAUCAUUGUAGUUCUGGAGUCUCAUGAGGUGGUGUUCACUUAUGUUAAGAGAGGUUUUAACUCUGAUGCCGAUGUGUUAGCCAAACUGUCAACCUCCUUGUAGUUGUGCCCCGGCCUUUUCGCUAGUGUGCCGUUCUUCCUUCUUUCUUUUCUUUUUCAUUCUUUUUUGUUUUUUUCUCUUUCAUCAGUUUCCUUUUCUAUGUAAUCUUCGUUACUUUAAUGAAAUUCAC
RNAcentral lists this long non-coding RNA (774 nucleotides) under Amborella trichopoda. Its description in RNAcentral is "long non-coding RNA (ATRI_LNC003684)". The record is from RNAcentral. Lineage: Eukaryota; Viridiplantae; Streptophyta; Magnoliopsida; Amborellales; Amborellaceae.